AAGGUCUCUGGACCCCCAAAAACCACCGCGAACCUACCAAGUUGCGUACCGCUCCGGCGGGCGGCUCCGGGGAGGAGCCGCCUAGGACCCGCCGGGCGCGGCCCCCACACAGACCCUGAACGCCCAGCGUUGUGCCCCUCCGAGUCGCAGCUGCGAGGGCAGCCGAAAAACCUACUAGCA
RNAcentral lists this unclassified non-coding RNA (180 nucleotides) under uncultured fungus. RNAcentral describes it as "sequence contains ITS1, 5.8S rRNA gene". The record is from RNAcentral. Lineage: Eukaryota; Fungi.